This 440-nucleotide ribosomal RNA is filed under the name uncultured bacterium. RNAcentral's name for it is "partial 16S ribosomal RNA". It matches the Rfam family "Bacterial small subunit ribosomal RNA", at positions 338 to 795 of the family's 1533-position model. The record is from RNAcentral.
CCUACGGGUGGCAGCAGUAGGGAAUAUUGCUCAAUGGGGGAAACCCUGAAGCAGCAACGCCGCGUGGAGGAUGAAGGUUUUCGGAUUGGAAACUCCUUUUGUUAGAGAAGAUAAUGACGGUAUCUAACGAAUAAGCACCGGCUAACUCCGUGCCGGAAGCCGCGGUAAUAUGGAGGGUGCAACCGUAACACGGAAUCACUGGGCGUAAAGAGAGCGUAGGCGGGAUAGCAAGUCAGAUGUGAAAUCCUAUGGCUUAACCAUAGAACUGCAUUUGAUACUGUUAUUCUAGAGUAUGGUAGAGGUAGGUGGAAUUCUUGGUGUAGGGGUUAAAUGCGUAGAGAUCAAGAGGAAUCCUCAUUGCGAAGGCGACUUGCUAGACUAUGACUGACGCUGAUGCGCGAAAGUGUGGGGAUCAAACAGGAUUAGAUACCCCGGUAGUC